Molecule: ribosomal RNA, 323 nt
Filed under: uncultured marine eukaryote
Lineage: Eukaryota
Description: bacterial SSU rRNA
Rfam family: Eukaryotic small subunit ribosomal RNA
Source: RNAcentral
AAAAGCUCGUAGUUGGAUUUCGGACUGGUGCAGUUUGGUCUGCCGCAAGGUGUGUUGCUGAACUGUGCUGUCUUCUUCUCAGAGUCCUGCUGUGCACUUGAUUGUGUGCAGUAUUUUGGAAUUUGAGACGUUUACUUUGAAAAAAUUAGAGUGUUCAGAGCAGGCCUUGUUAUGCCCGAAUACAUGAGCAUGGGAUAAUGGAAUAGGACUACGGUCUUAUUUUGUUGGUUUCUGAGACCGAAGUAAUGAUUAAGAGGGACAAUUGGGGGCAUCCGUAUUUCGUUGUCAGAGGUGAAAUUCUUGGAUUUACGAAAGACGAACAA